CAGUCGCCACGGUAAUACGGAGGAUCCAAGCGUUAUCCGGAAUCAUUGGGUUUAAAGGGUCCGUAGGCGGUCUUGUAAGUCAGUGGUGAAAGCCCAUCGCUCAACGGUGGAACGGCCAUUGAUACUGCAGGACUUGAAUUAUUGGGAAGUAACUAGAAUAUGUAGUGUAGCGGUGAAAUGCUUAGAGAUUACAUGGAAUACCAAUUGCGAAGGCAGGUUACUACCAAUUGAUUGACGCUGAUGGACGAAAGCGUGGGUAGCGAACAGGAUUAGAUACCCCUGUAGUCCCUGUCUCUUAUAC
Molecule: ribosomal RNA, 301 nt
Filed under: uncultured bacterium
Lineage: Bacteria
Description: partial 16S ribosomal RNA
Rfam family: Bacterial small subunit ribosomal RNA
Source: RNAcentral